RNAcentral lists this transfer RNA (73 nucleotides) under Puccinia graminis f. sp. tritici CRL 75-36-700-3. RNAcentral describes it as "tRNA-Tyr (GTA) (tRNA-Tyr-GTA-2-1)". It matches the Rfam family "tRNA". Rfam says of the family: Transfer RNA (tRNA) molecules are approximately 80 nucleotides in length. Their secondary structure includes four short double-helical elements and three loops (D, anti-codon, and T loops). Further hydrogen bonds mediate the characteristic L-shaped molecular structure. tRNAs have two regions of fundamental functional importance: the anti-codon, which is responsible for specific mRNA codon recognition, and the 3' end, to which the tRNAs corresponding amino acid is attached (by aminoacyl-tRNA synthetases). tRNAs cope with the degeneracy of the genetic code in two manners: having more than one tRNA (with a specific anti-codon) for a particular amino acid; and 'wobble' base-pairing, i.e. permitting non-standard base-pairing at the 3rd anti-codon position. The record is from RNAcentral. Lineage: Eukaryota; Fungi; Basidiomycota; Pucciniomycetes; Pucciniales; Pucciniaceae.
CCCCCGAUAGCUCAGCUGGAAGAGCGCGAGACUGUAAAUCUUGAGGUCGCUGGUUCGAUCCCGGCUCGGGGGA